Molecule: ribosomal RNA, 253 nt
Filed under: uncultured bacterium
Lineage: Bacteria
Description: partial 16S ribosomal RNA
Rfam family: Bacterial small subunit ribosomal RNA
Source: RNAcentral
UACGGAGGGUGCAAGCGUUGUCCGGAAUCACUGGGCGUAAAGGGCGCGUAGGCGGCUCAUGAAGGCUGUGGUGAAAGUCCGGGGCUCAACCUCGGAUCGGCCGUGGCGACUCGUGGGCUGGAGCACUGUAGAGGCGGGUGGAAUUCCGGGUGUAGCGGUGGAAUGCGUAGAGAUCCGGAAGAACACCAGUGGCGAAGGCGGCCCGCUGGGCAGUGGCUGACGCUGAGGCGCGACAGCGUGGGGAGCAAAUAGG